RNAcentral lists this ribosomal RNA (520 nucleotides) under uncultured bacterium. Its description in RNAcentral is "bacterial SSU rRNA". It matches the Rfam family "Bacterial small subunit ribosomal RNA", at positions 377 to 901 of the family's 1533-position model. The record is from RNAcentral.
GCAAGCCUGAACCGCCUGCCGCGUGCAGGAUGACGGUCCUAUGGAUUGUAAACUGCUUUUAUACGGGAAGAAACACUGCUACGUGUAGCAGCUUGACGGUACCGUAAGAAUAAGGAUCGGCUAACUCCGUGCCAGCAGCCGCGGUAAUACGGAGGAUCCAAGCGUUAUCCGGAAUCAUUGGGUUUAAAGGGUCCGUAGGCGGCUUUAUAAGUCAGUGGUGAAAGCCCAUCGCUUAACGAUGGAACGGCCAUUGAUACUGUAGAGCUUGAAUUACUUGGAAGUAACUAGAAUAUGUAGUGUAGCGGUGAAAUGCUUAGAUAUUACAUGGAAUACCAAUUGCGAAGGCAGGUUACUACAAGUGGAUUGACGCUGAUGGACGAAAGCGUGGGGAGCGAACAGGAUUAGAUACCCUGGUAGUCCACGCCGUAAACGAUGGAUACUAGCUGUUUGGAGUAAUCUGAGUGGCUAAGCGAAAGUGAUAAGUAUCCCACCUGGGGAGUACGCACGCAAGUGUGAAACU